CCGAAAGAUGACCGGUCGUUGCCUUGUUUUCUCUGGAACUGUUUUGUGGCAUCAUCUCAUGGCCGACUGGUCAAAACCUCAUUCGAAUGGCGUUCCCGAACCAACGAAGGGAUCUGAGUUUUGGCAAAGUGUGCGCUCAGAUUCAAGCUAUUCGGUGAUGUGAUUUUCGUGGGGUUCUGAAGUAUUAAAAUUUAUUUUUGGGGUG
Pelobates cultripes (western spadefoot toad) is the source of this 205-nucleotide non-coding RNA. The record is from the annotation of a GenBank genome assembly. Lineage: Eukaryota; Metazoa; Chordata; Amphibia; Anura; Pelobatidae.